ACCUAAACGGGAUUGUAGCGAUAUCCUUUUAAAAUUAGCACCAGCUUCCGUCUCACUGUCAUGCUGAGGUACGAAGCAUCUGUUUCAUCGGAGACAGAUGCUUCGUACCUCAGCAUGACAAUUGCAUUUUAAAAGAUUUAGCGUAAAGCCCGACUGUCA
RNAcentral lists this small RNA (159 nucleotides) under Pedobacter sp. AK013. RNAcentral describes it as "Flavo-1 RNA". It matches the Rfam family "Flavo-1 RNA". The record is from RNAcentral. Lineage: Bacteria; Pseudomonadati; Bacteroidota; Sphingobacteriia; Sphingobacteriales; Sphingobacteriaceae.